GGCUUUGUGGUCUAGCGGUAUGAUUCUCGCUUAGGGUCAAACUCUAGGUCAAAUAUGCGAGAGGUCCCGGGUUCAAUUCCCGGCAAAGCCC
Non-coding RNA from Hypoxylon crocopeplum, 91 nucleotides. The record is from the annotation of a GenBank genome assembly. NCBI's taxonomy places the organism in Eukaryota, Fungi, Ascomycota, Sordariomycetes, Xylariales, Hypoxylaceae.